CAUCGGAUGAGCAGCACUUGAUUAGUUUGUUGGUGGGGUAAUGGCCUACCAAGACUGUGAUCAAUAGCUGAUUUGAGAGGAUGAUCAGCCACAUUGGGACUGAGACACGGCCCAAACUCUACGGGAGGCAGCAGUGGGGAAUCUUGCACAAUGGAGGAAACUCUGAUGCAGCGAUGCCGCGUGAGUGAAGAAGGCCUUUGGGUUGUAAAGCUCUUUCGUCGGGGAAGAAAAUGACUGUACCCGAAUAAGAAGGUCCGGCUAACUUCGUGCCAGCAGCCGCGGUAAUACGAAGGGACCUAGCGUAGUUCGGAAUUACUGGGCUUAAAGAGUUCGUAGGUGGUUGAAAAAGUUAGUGGUGAAAUCCCAGAGCUUAACUCUGGAACUGCCAUUAAAACUUUUCAGCUAGAGUAUGAUAGAGGAAAGCAGAAUUUCUAGUGUAGAGGUGAAAUUCGUAGAUAUUAGAAAGAAUACCAAUUGCGAAGGCAGCUUUCUGGAUCAUUACUGACACUGAGGAACGAAAGCAUGGGUAGCGAAGAGGAUUAGAUACCCUCGUAGUCCAUGCCGUAAACGAUGUGUGUUAGACGUUGGAAAUUUAUUUUCAGUGUCGCAGCGAAAGCGAUAAACACACCGCCUGGGGAGUACGACCGCAAGGUUAAAACUCAAAUGAAUUGACGGGGACCCGCACAAGUAGUGGAGCAUGUGGUUUAAUUCGAAGAUACGCGCAGAACCUUACCAACACUUGACAUGUUCGUCGCGACUCUAAGAGAUUAGAGUUUUCGGUUCGGCCGGACGAAACACAGGUGCUGCAUGGCUGUCGUCAGCUCGUGUCGUGAGAUGUUGGGUUAAGUCCCGCAACGAGCGCAACCCUCACUUUUAGUUGCCAUCAUUUAGUUGGGCACUCUGAAAGAACUGCCAGUGAUAAGCUGGAGGAAGGUGGGGAUGACGUCAAGUCCU
Molecule: ribosomal RNA, 954 nt
Filed under: marine metagenome
Description: bacterial SSU rRNA
Rfam family: Bacterial small subunit ribosomal RNA
Source: RNAcentral